RNAcentral lists this ribosomal RNA (492 nucleotides) under uncultured bacterium. Its description in RNAcentral is "partial 16S ribosomal RNA". It matches the Rfam family "Bacterial small subunit ribosomal RNA", at positions 29 to 507 of the family's 1533-position model. The record is from RNAcentral.
AGUGAACGCUGGCGGUAGGCCUAACACAUGCAAGUCGAACGGCAGCACAGUAAGAUCUUGCUCCUACGGGUGGCGAGUGGCGGACGGGUGAGGAAUACAUCGGAAUCUACUUUUUCGUGGGGGAUAACGUAGGGAAACUUACGCUAAUACCGCAUACGACCUACGGGUGAAAGCAGGGGAUCUUCGGACCUUGCGCGAUUGAUUGAGCUGAUGUCGGAUUAGCUAGUUGGCGGGGUAAAGGCCCACCAAGGCGACGAUCCGUAGCUGGUCUGAGAGGAUGAUCGGCCACACUGGAACUGAGACACGGUCCAGACUCCUACGGGAGGCAGCAGUGGGGAAUGUUGGGCAAUGGGUGUAAGCCUGAUCCAGCAAUACCGCGUGGGUGAAGAAGGCCUUCGGGUUGUAAAGCCCUUUUGUUGGGAAAGAAAAGCAGCAGGUUAAUACCCCGCUGUUCUGACGGUACCCAAAGAAUAAGCAACGGCUAACUUCGUG